Strigops habroptila (Kakapo) is the source of this 4979-nucleotide long non-coding RNA. The record is from Ensembl. NCBI's taxonomy places the organism in Eukaryota, Metazoa, Chordata, Aves, Psittaciformes, Psittacidae.
UAUCUUUUUUUUUUUUUUUUUUAGAUUUCAGUUCCCUUUACUGCUUUGUGUUUUCUUGACUAAAUAAAUAAGAUAGGGGAGUAGUUUUCUAAACAAGAUCCCAAAACAGAUAAGGAGACUUAACUGGCUAAGCUGCUAGUCGUGAGAGUGUGGGAGCAGACCGGGAGGAUGGCUAGCUUGGCAGACAUUUGCUCUCCAAACCAUGUGAUCUAGCCGUCAGAGUAAAGCCAAGCAUUAGGUUAAACCUAGUCACAGCAAUGGAUGGUGCAGUUUCAGAUGUUGGUAUGUCUCUGCUAUCUCCAUACAGUGAAAAUACAGGGGGAUUUCAAAACUGACAAAAAGCCAAAACACUAAAUAGCAUCCAAGUCAAGUAACAACUGCCUGAGUGAACUGUGAAGACAGUAAAAAUAGAUCUGUCUGUACACCUGACAGAGUGCAGGGUGUGUCUGAAAGAACUCAAAGCGCAGGUAGGAUUCUGCUUUUCAGGUUGAAUCUUUGCAUUAGCAGGGCUGCAAGUGAAAAAGACAGACUGGCAUUGCAAAUAGCUGGUGUCCAACUAUCACUAGACAUCACCACAAGAGAAAGUUUCAUGUCUAAUGUAUUACUGCCUAUUAGUCAGAACACUAAAUUAGUACAUAAAAGGAAGCAGUUCUGCCCUUUGUGCUUGAUAGCUGGAAGGUAGCUAAACCCUAAUAGUAAUGAUCCUUUCUCACAAUAUCUCUUUUGGUGCAGAUUUCUUUUCACUAGUGCAGAUUUAGCUUAAUGUGUUUAUCUUCUAAGAUGAAUUUUAAGUUGUGUUGCCAUAUGUUUUUAAUUGAAAGCAGGAGUUGUCAUGGACAGCGUGUCAGGGUAGUGGUUUGUUACGGAGCAGUUUCUCAAUGCAGAGGAGCAAUCAGUAUUGUAUGGUGAACCAAACAAAGAAAAAACCCUCUGCAGUGGAACAGCUGGUCAUGGGGAAUAACUGUGCUUUCAUAUGGCUGUGUAUUAUAAGAAACAAAACCAAACUGAAGUUUGAGAGUACUAGCAAUUUAAUUUGGCAGACUGGAAGCUAGGGCAGCUGCAGAGAACACACAGAGCUUCCAGGGAGCAGCCUAACACGGUGCUCGCAUGCUGAAUCAGUUAAAUACAAGCAUCGCGUACUCUGGUGUUCCUUUGUGCUGCUUUUCCUAUUCAGUAAAGGCAACAGCAUUUUAAAUGGUUCUUGAUUAGGUAGGGGAAAUGUCCACAAAUACAGGCACUGCCUCAAUGUUAUCAAAGCACUCUCAUCUAAUUAUUCAUUACUUUGAGUCCUGUUAAUAGUAGUGGCUUAGCAUACACAUAAUCUUGUAUCAGUAGCAGAAGAGUGAGGCAAAUGGGGGAGAGACAGGUUUGUGCAGUAUAGGUAGUAUCAUUUACUGUUGCUUAAUGGUUAUGAACCAGUAAGCAGUUUUCAUUCCAGCACUUGAAAGCUCAGCUGCUUCAUCUGUCUUGUUUCCUUUGAGUGCUAUCCCAUUCAGUGCUUCUGGUGAGGACUCCUAUCUUAAAUCUUCAGCAGCGAAUCCAAAUACCAGAAGGUAUUUGUGAGAGGGUAUGUACUAAUUUUGUGGAGACACCCCUAAGUGCAUGGAGCAGUAAGAAUGAGUGGCAAGGACAGCCAGGGAAUGGACUUGGUUUCUGAGCCCAGGUGCCAUGUUAAACCAAUGAAGUGUCUUUAGGAAUGUCUUCGUACCAAAUUCAUUUUCAAAGCACAGUGCUGUUUAGCCUCUACAUGCAUUGAUAACAACUGUAAGUCUAAAACUCUGGGCUUCAGGGGGGAUCAGACUCCUUGUGGUAGGGCCUUUGGACUUCCUGGUGAGCCUCUUCAGUCAAAUUGUUUCUGAAAAAUGUCUUAGGAAACUUAAAGUACUGCAUUUCCUAACCAUAAUUUUCUGAAAAUUGUUAUUCCCUUAUUGAUCAUCAAUUUUGUUUUAAUUCUUUUGGCUUUUUGGUUUUUUUUUUUCCCUAGAAGCAUAGAAAGUUCAUAUUUUUUAAAAAACAAAAAAUGAAAAAAGAAAGAAAAAAAAAGAAACAACCAAAACAACAAAACAUCUUCCAGAAGGGAUAUAACCAGAAGGGAUUUUGUCCAAAACACUAUUACUCCUAAUUUCAGUGCUUCAAUCUUCCAGUUGGAUCAGCGUUCAGAGAUGUAGGUGUUAAUGCCAAGCAAUUUCUUUCUGAAGCAGAUCGUUGGUGCUGCUGCUUUUUAUUUUUGAGCCAUGCCUGUCAUAUGUGACAAUUUGGGGUUUGUAAUGGGGUUUUGUAUUUUUCGCUGUAUACAUGGAACAUCAGUCACGUUUGAUGUAAUAUCAUGCACUCUCCUAUUUGACACAUUCAUUGUUUUUGAUGUUCUGACAUUCAAGGGGAUCUUGGUUUUGCAUAUUAAAUUUUGGGAUGGUAGAUCUGCAUGUGAUAUACCUCACAGAACUACUAGUUAAUAUAUCAACAAAAUAGUAAGCUAAUAUUACAGGCAGGCAGUGAAUUACCUCCCCUGCUGUGCAGUGGCUGCAUGGGCAGACUUUGACCCAAGACUGAUACUUGCUGUGGUAGCUGUCUUUAAUAUCUGUGGUUGCUGCUUUCAUGGGUAAACCAUUUCCAAAGGGAAACAGUAGCUGUGCUGUCUGUCCUGGCACAGUUGGCAAAUGGACUGUGUUUGUUUGUCUUUGGUUUAUGUGGGGGACCAGAGCUUUCCUCUGCUGGGAACAUGGCAGCAGCAAGCUCCUGCUGACCUUGAGUUUUGGGGCUGCUCUGAAGAGGCACCAUCGGGCCACCUUUUUUGUUUGUUUGUUUGUUUUGAUACAUUCAGCUGAGUAAAGCUGAGGGCUGUUGUGUUUCAUGUGAUCUUGUCCUCCAGGACACUCAGUUGAACAUAUAUAGUAGAAAAGUGAAGGCAAUUGGAUGCAUUGGAGUGGGAAGGUGUUUAGACAUCACUCUGAAAAGGCAAAGAGAAAGCGUAUGCUCUAUUUUUAGACAAAUAUUGCUUUGUAAAUAGAAUAUUUGUAUACCUACAAGUAGAUAGAAAUAUAGUAAAGAAUUUGAAAUACAUAGGGAAAAUGUAACAUUUAAAGGAUCAGAUUGCUAACAAGGCUCCACGCACCAUAAAUCUAUCAAGAGCUUCCCAUGUAAAUAGCAUCUUCUGUUCCGCCACAGACUUUGAUGAAGACUUCAGUGCAAAUGGCAUUAAUGUUUUUAACACUAAGAAAAGCCCUAACCAAUUAUGCACGUAUGGGCUUACCUCAUUAGGUACCUUGGUGCUUAUUGCAGAGGAAAUUGGGUUGCAAUUCCCAAAGCAGUUUUUUUUGGAGCACUGUACUUGAUUAUAUGCCUUCUGAGAUGCAGUUUCGUCUAGAGAAAACAACUGUUGUCUGCCCUCCUCUCAACACACUACACAGAGUUUGUGCUGCUGUAUGUUAAGCAGUGCUCUGUGUGGCUGAUGGUCAGAGAUGCUGUUGGCAGUUUGCAGGUUUUGUUGUUGGCUUUUUCUUUGCCUUUUCCUUAGGAAGCCUUGAAACACAGUUGCAGACCCCAAAUUACAUGGAUUCGGAAUGUUUAGUUUUAGUUAGAAAUUAGUUUAAAAACUAAUUUCCUCGUGCUUCUUGAAUUUCUAAAUAUCUCCUUAGAAUCUGGAAAACAGUUUCUUCCAUAACAAUUUUCUUUCCUCUCCUCCCCCAUUUAUAUAACUCUGGAUUUUCCCCAGUGUUUCUAAGAUAGCCAGUGUUUGUUUCCUUUUAGCAUGUUAUGCAAACAAACCUCAGAUGAUAUUGGCAGGGGUUUCUGUAACUUUAUGAGUUGUCCCAGGGUGCAUGACAAUACUUUUUCCCCACAGAAGAAGUCUACUGAUUCCUUCUGCUUUUACAACAGAAAAUUAUAUCUCCAGAGAGCUUUUGAUUUUGGAGGGCAGUGGCUCAGCAUCUCCAUGCAGGUGAGCUGGUCUAAUGGCAGGGUGGUACAUGAGAGGAUGGAGUUAAUCCCUCUCCAGUCUCACCCUCUUCUUGUGAAAAUGCUGCCCAAGUGACUUUGUGGUGCAGCAGAGCAGAUGACAUCCUUAUUUUUUAAUGUGAUACCCAACAGAAUCUUUAGGUAAGUUUUUGGGCAGUCCCAAACCUGCACUUUGACUGGUGUUACGUGAAAGCAAGCUCCAGUGGAAGCGUAUGCACAACCUCCACGAGAAUGUUCAAUAUCUUUCCAACUCAUUUGGUCUCAUGUUGGGCGAAAUGUAGUAAAUAAAACUUAACCAGCAACAAAGCAAAAAGUUAAAUGUUUUAAUUUUCAUUAUUUGGGCUAAGAAAAAUUAAAUAAAGAAAUUGCUCAAGCAAGGCAAAGUACAAUAGAAACUGGCAAGGUUUCACACUUCUUAGUAGUAAUACAAUAAAAAAGAAUCCUUGAACAUCACUUUGUCAAUGUUUCCUUGAUGUGAUUCAAGAGUGGCUUGGGAUGGACAAUAUUUUGUGCUACACAGCAUGUCAGAAAAGUUUCUCAUGCAGGGGAUAGCAAAAAUAGAAGAUCACUGAAUCGACUCUGAAAUCCUACUCGAAGGUAACAGUAAUUUCAACUUUGAUCCUGUUGUGGCACACAAAACAGUGGAGCUGAUGGAGUCAUACAGGUCACCUGAAAAACAAAACAAUGUACUAUAAUGCUGUAACUCUUACAAUAUACACUGUGAACAGGUUCAAUGUUUUUUUAGCUCUUUUUAUACCAUAUUUUUACAGCGUAAAUAAUCUGUUUAGAGAUGUUUUUAUGUUCUGUUUUUACAAAGAUUUUAAUGGACUUCUGUUUAAUACUAGUGAAAAUAUUGUUUGCCAAUUUAAAAUAGUCAUCUAUAGAAAAUAAUUCUGAGAAUAAAUCAAUAAAUCAAGCUGACAAAAUAGUCUUCCUAACACACUAAAUCUAAUCAUUCAUUUAACAUAAUUCAGUUGCUGAAAUAUACUGAAGUUUUCCAGCUUCCAAAUCCAGUAUUGCAUAAA